GGAAUUUUCCGCAAUGGGCGAAAGCCUGACGGAGCAACGCCGCGUGAGGGAUGAAGGCCUCUGGGCUGUAAACCUCUUUUAUCAAGGAAGAAGAUCUGACGGUACUUGAUGAAUAAGCCACGGCUAAUUCCGUGCCAGCAGCCGCGGUAAUACGGGAGUGGCAAGCGUUAUCCGGAAUUAUUGGGCGUAAAGCGUCCGCAGGCGGUCUGUCAAGUCUGCUGUUAAAGCGUGGAGCUUAACUCCAUUUCAGCAAUGGAAACUGGAAGACUAGAGUGUGGUAGGGGCAGAGGGAAUUCCCGGUGUAGCGGUGAAAUGCGUAGAUAUCGGGAAGAACACCAGUGGCGAAGGCGCUCUGCUGGGCCAUAACUGACGCUCAUGGACGAAAGCCAGGGGAGCGAAAGGGAUUAGAUACCCCAGUAGUC
Molecule: ribosomal RNA, 422 nt
Filed under: uncultured cyanobacterium
Lineage: Bacteria; Bacillati; Cyanobacteriota
Description: bacterial SSU rRNA
Rfam family: Bacterial small subunit ribosomal RNA
Source: RNAcentral